UACGUAGGGGGCUAGCGUUGUUCGGAAUCACUGGGCGUAAAGCGCUCGUAGGCGGUCUCUUAAGUCGGUGGUGAAAUCCUGGAGCUCAACUCCAGAACUGCCUUCGAUACUGGGAGUCUCGAGUCCGGGAGAGGUGAGUGGAACUGCGAGUGUAGAGGUGAAAUUCGUAGAUAUUCGCAAGAACACCAGUGGCGAAGGCGGCUCACUGGCCCGGUACUGACGCUGAGGUGCGAAAGCGUGGGGAGCAAACAGG
Molecule: ribosomal RNA, 253 nt
Filed under: uncultured bacterium
Lineage: Bacteria
Description: partial 16S ribosomal RNA
Rfam family: Bacterial small subunit ribosomal RNA
Source: RNAcentral